RNAcentral lists this ribosomal RNA (253 nucleotides) under uncultured bacterium. RNAcentral's name for it is "partial 16S ribosomal RNA". It matches the Rfam family "Bacterial small subunit ribosomal RNA", at positions 524 to 776 of the family's 1533-position model. The record is from RNAcentral.
UACGAAGGGGGCUAGCGUUGCUCGGAAUGACUGGGCGUAAAGGGCGCGUAGGCGGCUUGCACCGUCAGAUGUGAAAUUCCUGGGCUUAACCUGGGGGCUGCAUUUGAUACGUGUGGGCUUGAGUGCGGAAGAGGGUCGUGGAAUUCCCAGUGUAGAGGUGAAAUUCGUAGAUAUCGGGAAGAACACCCGUGGCGAAGGCGACGUGCUGGGCUGAACCUGACGCUGAGAUGCGAAAGUGUGGGGAGCAAACGGG